Molecule: ribosomal RNA, 515 nt
Filed under: uncultured bacterium
Lineage: Bacteria
Description: partial 16S ribosomal RNA
Rfam family: Bacterial small subunit ribosomal RNA
Source: RNAcentral
ACUCAAAUGAAUUGACGGGGACUUGCACAAGCAGAGGAUUAUGAGGUUUAAUUCGAUGUCAAACGAAGAACCUUACCAGGGUUGGAAAUCUACACGACAUCUCUAUGAAAGUAGAGCUCCGCAAGGCGGGUAGACAGGUGUUGCAUGGCCGUCGUCAGUUCGUGGUUUGAACUGUUCCCUUAAGUGGGGUAACGAACGCAACCCACGUUGCCAGUUAUAAAUGUCUGGCGAGACUGCCCCGUGAAAUGAGUGCAAAGAAAUUUGUUAGCAUUUUACGGGGAGGAAGGCGUGGAUGACGCCAGGUCAGCAUGGCCCUUUGAUACCCUGGGCCACACUCAUAAUACAAUCGCUACUACAACGCGACGCAAUACCGCAAGGUGGAGCAAAUCGUCAGAAAAGUAGCGCCAGUUCGGAUUGGAGUCUGCAACUCGACUCCAUGAAGCCGGAUUUGCUAGUAAUCGCAGGUCAGCUAUACUGCGGUGAAUACGUUCUCAAGUCUUGUACACACCGCCCGU